UCACAGGGUCUCUUGUGCCUUAUGGGGUU
This 29-nucleotide non-coding RNA is filed under the name Rattus norvegicus (Norway rat). The record is from RNAcentral. Lineage: Eukaryota; Metazoa; Chordata; Mammalia; Rodentia; Muridae.